GAGCAGAGAAUGAAGUAAGUUGGAGUUGAGUUAGCAAGGAGAAAGGGUGUAAAUCCAUGUUGGGCAGGCAUCCAGAAGUGUCUGUUCUACUUCUGUAUGGGGCGGGCUUCACAGAACUCCAGAAGUGUCUCUCCCUGUUACUCCACACAGCUCUGGAGCUUACAUAGCCUGUUCUAUGUUCACCUGGCUUUCAUCCUUCAUCUGUGCAUGGAAUGGGGUGGUUAGCUUGUUUCAGUCACCUUGGAGCACAUACUCUGAGUGACAACCCCACCAUACCACCUUGGUGCCUGAGCUCUCCCUCACCUGGCCAGUUGCCUUGAAUUACAGUGUGGAGCCUGAGUGAACCAUCUGGCUCUCAGGUAACAGGGCCAGUGUUCUGCUGUCUCACAGGCACACUCCACCUGCAGCCACGACUGAGAUGGGAAUAGUUGGGGCUACUGUCCUCAAGAAGUGGCUCCUCAAGCUUCAUGGGUUUCUCUGUCUUGUUACUCCCCAGAGGCAGACAGCUGCUCUCUCAGCCUGCCCGGCUUCAGCUUCCUCUGCCUGCUCAUCAUGGGUGAGCAGGUUCCCCGUGUCCCUCUCCAUCUGGCCACAUUGUGGACUUCUCUUCCUGCAGUCACUGCUCACCUCACAAAAGGCAUCAUGGGAACUUGUCCCCAAUACAGAGGACUCCUGCACUCACUUCACUGUCCCCUUCACCUACUUUAGUCUCCCUGUCCCAUCCACGAGAUGGGAGAACCAGGAGGGACACACACACACACACACACACACACACACACACACACACACACACUGAAAUGUGGGGUGGGAGAGAUAAGGAACGAAGAAGGAAAAUGACCUAAAUGUCAUGAUGUCAUGUGGUGUUACAGAUUGGGUCCUGGAACAGAAAGAAGACGGAGUAGAAGAACUGGUGCAAUGGGAAUGAAGUCUAUAGACAGUCAAGUGUACCCUUGCGAUGUUCAUCUCUUAGCUUUGACAAAGGGAAAGAAAAUAGUGUCAGGCCCACCCCAUGCUCUUACAGUGUUUCCCACGGCCGGACUGCUGCCAUAGCCUCUGUCCCAGACCCAACCCUAAGACCGACGCUCUCCAGAGGAAGCAGGAAGGUGGAGAAUUUUUAAACCGAAAAGGCUCUGGCAUGGAUAGUUCCUGGGGUUGUUAAACGGUCUCCAUCCCGUUCCUGAGGACUAAAACAGCCGAUCAACCGAACUGCAUCUGAGUAUUUAAGCACACCUGCCAUUUCCCUUGACAAAGUAGUCCCUGGAUCGUCCCACAUUGGCAGAAGAGUAAAAAGCUCAUGGUGAGUAGACUCGGCUGGAAGGCCCAGUCCCACGUCCUCCAGAACUCCUGCUCCUUGGGGACCUCUCCGUAAUGACCACAGUCACCACGCAUGGGCUCAAAGGGAAUGGCCCAGGUGCAGGCACCGGAUGCCCCAU
Long non-coding RNA from Herpailurus yagouaroundi (jaguarundi), 1433 nucleotides. RefSeq lists it as uncharacterized. The record is from RefSeq and is a predicted model, not a curated record. The transcript is spliced from 3 exons. Lineage: Eukaryota; Metazoa; Chordata; Mammalia; Carnivora; Felidae.